This 408-nucleotide ribosomal RNA is filed under the name uncultured bacterium. Its description in RNAcentral is "bacterial SSU rRNA". It matches the Rfam family "Bacterial small subunit ribosomal RNA", at positions 30 to 431 of the family's 1533-position model. The record is from RNAcentral.
AUUGAACGCUGGCGGCAGGCCUAACACAUGCAAGUCGAACGGUAACAGGAAGAAGCUUGCUUCUUUGCUGACGAGUGGCGGACGGGUGAGUAAUGUCUGGGAAACUGCCUGAUGGAGGGGGAUAACUACUGGAAACGGUAGCUAAUACCGCAUAACGUCGCAAGACCAAAGAGGGGGGACCUUCGGGCCUCUUGCCAUCGGAUGUGCCCAGAUGGGAUUAGCUAGUAGGUGGGGUAACGGCUCACCUAGGCGACGAUCCCUAGCUGGUCUGAGAGGAUGACCAGCCACACUGGAACUGAGACACGGUCCAGACUCCUACGGGAGGCAGCAGUGGGGAAUAUUGCACAAUGGGCGCAAGCCUGAUGCAGCCAUGCCGCGUGUAUGAAGAAGGCCUUCGGGUUGUAAAGU